This 604-nucleotide ribosomal RNA is filed under the name Enterobacter asburiae. Its description in RNAcentral is "partial 23S ribosomal RNA". It matches the Rfam family "Bacterial large subunit ribosomal RNA", at positions 2259 to 2857 of the family's 2925-position model. Lineage: Bacteria; Pseudomonadati; Pseudomonadota; Gammaproteobacteria; Enterobacterales; Enterobacteriaceae. The record is from RNAcentral.
UGGUGGGUAGUUUGACUGGGGCGGUCUCCUCCCAAAGAGUAACGGAGGAGCACGAAGGUUAGCUAAUCCUGGUCGGACAUCAGGAGGUUAGUGCAAUGGCAUAAGCUAGCUUGACUGCGAGAGUGACGGCUCGAGCAGGUGCGAAAGCAGGUCAUAGUGAUCCGGUGGUUCUGAAUGGAAGGGCCAUCGCUCAACGGAUAAAAGGUACUCCGGGGAUAACAGGCUGAUACCGCCCAAGAGUUCAUAUCGACGGCGGUGUUUGGCACCUCGAUGUCGGCUCAUCACAUCCUGGGGCUGAAGUAGGUCCCAAGGGUAUGGCUGUUCGCCAUUUAAAGUGGUACGCGAGCUGGGUUUAGAACGUCGUGAGACAGUUCGGUCCCUAUCUGCCGUGGGCGCUGGAGAAUUGAGGGGGGCUGCUCCUAGUACGAGAGGACCGGAGUGGACGCAUCACUGGUGUUCGGGUUGUCAUGCCAAUGGCACUGCCCGGUAGCUAAAUGCGGAAAAGAUAAGUGCUGAAAGCAUCUAAGCACGAAACUUGCCCCGAGAUGAGUUCUCCCUGACCCUUUAAGGGUCCUGAAGGAACGUUGAAGACGACGACGUUGAU